AAUUUCACAAAAUGUUCGUUAACAAAACAGCUUGGUUUUCUGAGAGUGUAAGGAGACACCUGUGUGAAUGGUGGGUGACAGAAGGUGGGAUUAUUACAGAUUGGAAAAAAGCAGAUUAUCUUUUUAGUGAAGAUGCUUCCCAUUCUGACACUUUGAGGUUACAUGAGAGCAGGGAUUAUGCAGAAGAUAGAAUCACCAUUUUUCAUUCUUCUUACCUGACCGCAUGUAAAGAAACCAGAGCAAAGAAUCCAGUUGGCAAUUGGUCACUUUAUUUUUCCUCCCAAAAUAAUUCAGAAUGGUAGGUCAGCAAUAUAUAUUUGUACCUUAAUGCUAAUGAUAAUUUUGCAGACUCUGGUAUAUACACUUCUGUAGCUUCCUUACCAUGAGACUCCUAAGAUAUUGUACUAGCUUUGUUGCAUUUAGUGUUUUUACUU
This is a long non-coding RNA of Erpetoichthys calabaricus (reedfish), 434 nucleotides long. RefSeq lists it as uncharacterized. The record is from RefSeq and is a predicted model, not a curated record. The transcript has 3 exons. NCBI's taxonomy places the organism in Eukaryota, Metazoa, Chordata, Cladistia, Polypteriformes, Polypteridae.